This 432-nucleotide ribosomal RNA is filed under the name uncultured bacterium. RNAcentral's name for it is "partial 16S ribosomal RNA". It matches the Rfam family "Bacterial small subunit ribosomal RNA", at positions 29 to 506 of the family's 1533-position model. The record is from RNAcentral.
AACGAACGCUGGCGGCAUGCCUAACACAUGCAAGUCGAACGAGACCUUCGGGUCUAGUGGCGCACGGGUGCGUAACGCGUGGGAACCUGCCCUUAGGUUCGGAAUAACUCCCCGAAAGGGGUGCUAAUACCGGAUAAUGUCUUCGGACCAAAGAUUUAUCGCCUUUGGAUGGGCCCGCGUUGGAUUAGCUAGUUGGUAGGGUAAAAGCCUACCAAGGCGACGAUCCAUAGCUGGUCUGAGAGGAUGAUCAGCCACACUGGGACUGAGACACGGCCCAGACUGCUCAGGGAGGCAGUUGGGGGGAAUAGUGGACAAGGGGCGAAAGUAUGAUCCAGCAAUGACGGGGGAGGGAUGAAGGGAUGAGGGGUGCAAAGCUCGUUUACCCGGCAGGAUAAUGACAGUACCGGGAGAAGAAGCUCCGGAGAAAUACGU